CCGACCUCGACAUUGAAAUAGAACAAACUACAAAUCAAUUAAAUGAUCUCCUACUUCAAAAAACAGCGCGCACUCUACAAACACUCAAACUGAAGCAUUACACCCAGGGAAACAGAGCGGGGAAAAAAUUAGCAUCUUUACUGAGGCAUCACCAAGCCCACUCCAAAAUACCAUAUUUACUCACUAGCACAGGAGAGAAAAUAUACAACCCCAUAGACAUUAAUGAAGAAACAGCAGCCUACUACCAAAACCUGUACAACCUAACAAAAGAUCCCCAAACACAUCAGCCAACACAAGUGGAAAUUGAUAACUUCCUCUCGCAGAUAAAAUUGCCAAAAUUAACACAACAACAGCAGGACUCCCUGAUAGAACCGAUCACACUGACAGAGUUACAGCAAACGAUUCGCUCACUCCCUUCGGGGAAGUCACCCGGGCCAGAUGGCUUCACGAACACUUACUACAAAGUCUUUUCGAACAUCCUGAGCCCCUACCUAGUACACACACUGAAUCAUAUUGUACACACAGGGAAGAUGCCAGCGGAAAUGCUAUUAGCACACAUAGCCACGCUACCAAAGCCAGGGAAACCACCCACGUAACCUAAAAAUUUAAGACCUAUUUCACUGUUAAACACAGAUACGAAACUACUAGCCAAAAUAUACGCCAAUCGUGUAGCGGCCAUAAUCCCCUUUAUUACACACCCGGACCAAGUGGGAUUUGUAAGGGGGCGACAGGGGACUGACGGGACUAGGAAGCUCCACAGCCUCCUCUAUAAUGGGACGCCUCUCGGAGAGCCCAGGGUCUUUAUGUCCCUGGACGCCGAGAAGGCGUUCGACAGACUACACUAGAACUUCCUGAGAACUGUCC
Pelobates cultripes (western spadefoot toad) is the source of this 864-nucleotide non-coding RNA. Lineage: Eukaryota; Metazoa; Chordata; Amphibia; Anura; Pelobatidae. The record is from the annotation of a GenBank genome assembly.